GGAAGAGGAUCGCACCCUGGUGGGGCGCCCGGACUUCAAAUCCGGUGAGGGACGUUUAACGUGUCUGGUGGGUUCGACUCCUACCCUCUUCCGCCA
Molecule: transfer RNA, 96 nt
Filed under: Rhodospirillales bacterium
Lineage: Bacteria; Pseudomonadati; Pseudomonadota; Alphaproteobacteria; Rhodospirillales
Description: tRNA-Sec
Rfam family: Selenocysteine transfer RNA
Source: RNAcentral